Molecule: long non-coding RNA, 222 nt
Filed under: Elaeis guineensis (African oil palm)
Lineage: Eukaryota; Viridiplantae; Streptophyta; Magnoliopsida; Arecales; Arecaceae
Description: long non-coding RNA (EGUI_LNC040344)
Source: RNAcentral
CGGAGGGACACUUAUAUCCAUAUCCCUUUGGAGUAACUCUGGACAAUAGAGUGCUCCAGAGUUGGUAAUGUUCAGUGAAAUAUACUUCUAUAUUUUACUUGCAUACCAUACUAGUAUCUUCAUGCUCCUUGGUUAAGAGGACAACUAACUCAUAUGGCACACAAUGACCUACACUUGAUAUAAUUAUCAUUCUUAUAAUAAAUAUAUCAUUUGAUCGUGAAC